This 90-nucleotide transfer RNA is filed under the name Azospirillum cavernae. RNAcentral's name for it is "Azospirillum sp. K2W22B-5 tRNA-Ser". It matches the Rfam family "tRNA". Rfam says of the family: Transfer RNA (tRNA) molecules are approximately 80 nucleotides in length. Lineage: Bacteria; Pseudomonadati; Pseudomonadota; Alphaproteobacteria; Rhodospirillales; Azospirillaceae. The record is from RNAcentral.
GGAGGGGUGGCAGAGUGGUCGAUUGCACCGCACUCGAAAUGCGGCAUACCUGUGAGGGUAUCGGGAGUUCGAAUCUCCCCUCCUCCGCCA